This 526-nucleotide long non-coding RNA is filed under the name Homo sapiens (human). Its description in RNAcentral is "novel transcript". The record is from RNAcentral. Lineage: Eukaryota; Metazoa; Chordata; Mammalia; Primates; Hominidae.
AGCAUUUGCCGGGUGGGUGACUGAUAGCAAAGCUGUGUUUCCUGGGGAAAAGUGUGGCAUCUUCAGUUUACAUCAACUUGCUCUCAUCUGAGACAAAACUCUGUGUGUCCCUGCUGCGAUGGAUGCCAGAUAGAGCCUGCUUGCCUAGGAUGGGGACAGAUGCCAUUGGAAACAGAUUGCAAGACCAUCACGAUGACUUCACGUCAGUGCCAGCAUAUGCAGCCGUGGAAUACAGUGAGCGCUCUCUGCGGCUGACAGCAAUAGCGGUGAUCUAAUUUACCCGGCGACUGGAAGAAACUCUUUGUACAGGCUCUGGGUCCCUUUGGAUUAGUGACUUCAAGGUCAACUGGAGGAGAAAGGAAGCAGGGCUGAGGGUCACCCUCUCCUGUCUCAUUUGCAUGCUCUUGAAUAUAUGAUUUUAAGAAACAUGCGUUUUUGAUCUGCAAUGUAAAAAUUCCUCAAUGAUUUUUUGUACAGAUGUGCAGAAUACAGGAAUGAAAUAAAAUAUUGAGAAUUUGUGGCCUCA